AUUCCUACGGGAGGCAGCAGUAGGGAAUAUUGGACAAUGGGCGCAAGCCUGAUCCAGCCAUGCCGCGUGAGUGAAGAAGGCCCUCGGGUUGUAAAGCUCUUUUGUCCGGAAAGAAAAGCGCCGGGUUAAUACCCUGGUGUCCUGACGGUACCGGAAGAAUAAGCACCGGCUAACUUCGUGCCAGCAGCCGCGGUAAUAAU
RNAcentral lists this ribosomal RNA (200 nucleotides) under uncultured bacterium. RNAcentral's name for it is "partial 16S ribosomal RNA". It matches the Rfam family "Bacterial small subunit ribosomal RNA", at positions 335 to 526 of the family's 1533-position model. The record is from RNAcentral.